This 863-nucleotide ribosomal RNA is filed under the name uncultured bacterium. RNAcentral describes it as "bacterial SSU rRNA". It matches the Rfam family "Bacterial small subunit ribosomal RNA", at positions 54 to 916 of the family's 1533-position model. The record is from RNAcentral.
CAUGCAAGUCGAACGAGAAUCUGAUGAAGGAGUUUUCGGACAACUGAUUCAGAGGAAAGUGGCGGACGGGUGAGUAACGCGUGAGGAACCUACCUUGAAGAGGGGGACAACAGUUGGAAACGACUGCUAAUACCGCAUGAAGCAUAGAGGUCGCAUGAUCUUUAUGCCAAAGAUUUAUCGCUUCAAGAUGGCCUCGCGUCUGAUUAGCUAGUUGGCGGGGUAACGGCCCACCAAGGCGACGAUCAGUAGCCGGACUGAGAGGUUGAACGGCCACAUUGGGACUGAGAUACGGCCCAGACUCCUACGGGAGGCAGCAGUGGGGAAUAUUGGGCAAUGGGCGCAAGCCUGACCCAGCAACGCCGCGUGAAGGAAGAAGGCUUUCGGGUUGUAAACUUCUUUUAAGAGGGAAGAGCAGAAGACGGUACCUCUAGAAUAAGCCACGGCUAACUACGUGCCAGCAGCCGCGGUAAUACGUAGGUGGCAAGCGUUGUCCGGAUUUACUGGGUGUAAAGGGCGUGCAGCCGGGUCCGCAAGUCAGAUGUGAAAUCCAUGGGCUCAACCCAUGAACUGCAUUUGAAACUGUAGAUCUUGAGUGUCGGAGGGGCAAUCGGAAUUCCUAGUGUAGCGGUGAAAUGCGUAGAUAUUAGGAGGAACACCAGUGGCGAAGGCGGAUUGCUGGACGAUAACUGACGGUGAGGCGCGAAAGUGUGGGGAGCAAACAGGAUUAGAUACCCUGGUAGUCCACACUGUAAACGAUGAAUACUAGGUGUGCGGGGACUGACCCCCUGCGUGCCGCAGUAAACACAAUAAGUAUUCCACCUGGGGAGUACGAUCGCAAGGUUGAAACUCAAAGGAAUUGACGG